This 506-nucleotide ribosomal RNA is filed under the name uncultured bacterium. RNAcentral describes it as "partial 16S ribosomal RNA". It matches the Rfam family "Bacterial small subunit ribosomal RNA", at positions 30 to 523 of the family's 1533-position model. The record is from RNAcentral.
AUUGAACGCUGGCGGCAGGCCUAACACAUGCAAGUCGAACGGUAACAGGAAGAAGCUUGCUUCUUUGCUGACGAGUGGCGGACGGGUGAGUAAUGUCUGGGAAACUGCCUGAUGGAGGGGGAUAACUACUGGAAACGGUAGCUAAUACCGCAUGACGUCGCAAGACCAAAGAGGGGGACCUUCGGGCCUCUUGCCAUCGGAUGUGCCCAGAUGGGAUUAGCGAGGUGGUGGGGUAACGGCUCACCAAGGCGACGAUCCCUAGCUGGUCUGAGAGGAUUAACAGCCACACUGGAACUGAGACACGGUCCAGACUACUACGGGAGGCAGCAGUGGGGAAUAUUGCACAAUGGGCGCAAGCCUGAUGCAGCCAUGCCGCGUGUAUGAAGAAGGCCUUCGGGUUGUAAAGUACUUUCAGCGGGGAGGAAGGGAGUAAAGUUAAUACCUUUGCUCAUUGACGUUACCCGCAGAAGAAGCACCGGCUAACUCCGUGCCAGCCGCCGCAGUAA